CACAAGCAAAGUUAGUUUUAAUACUCAGUAUAUUACAUCUCAUGAAAAGAAUUUACAGUUUUUUCUAUUAAAGCUGUGGGAGUUUUCUUCUAAAAUGUUUUUUUUUGUCGUCCUUGUAAAAUGUUCUACAUUCGUCAUUUUCAGGCUAUCUUUGAUUUCGAAAGCUGUGGGCGUUUUCUUUUUUUAAUUUUUUUAAUUUUUUUUUUUUUUUGUCUUUUUCUACGAAAAUAAAAUAGCGUGCACUGUAUUGUUUCUUUCAACUUUAUUUUUUGACUAGUGAAAGACUAGACAUUUUGUUGCCCUGCCCCUAUAUUUUUUGUGUUUAUUUUAAGGUUGUUUUUUCUCUUUUUAUAAUGACCGUAAAAUGAGUUUUUACAAAAUCUGCUUCAAAUAUGUAAUGAAAACCUUGAUAAUAUGUAAAUGUACUAAAAACAAAAUCUUGAUAUGGGUACAUGUGAAAAUAGUAUAUUUCUGUUCUAAGAAUAUACUGUUUUAUGUUCUAAAAUAUCAACAAAUAGAUAUCUUUGCAUUUUUUUUUAUACAUCAAUAUUAGUAUUACCUACAUUGUCUAAGAGAUGUAACCCAACUUAUGUCGCAACUAGAACUACAUCUCAGAAAUCACCGAGCCGAGAGAAAAUUGUAAGAGUCCUCGACCAGCAAAACGUAGGAACAUCAACUCAAAGCAGUCGAGAAUAAGAACCACUGACUUGCAUCAAAACAGAAGAUCUAACCACACCACACAGAAUCCGAAAAGAAGACAUCCACCAUCGUUUAAACUUUCAACCCUUGACCCAACCACCGGUGAUAAAGACUUGUCCAUUAUAGUUUACUAAAGUUUAUGAUCAAACUUAAAAUAUCUGUUGUUAGAUUGAUACCUCUAAUUCCUUUGAAUUGCUUCUUAGAUUUCCACUUUACCCUUCCACGAUUUUUAAGCAAUGGAAAAUUAAGUUUCAUUUGUUUCAGAUUUUAAUAUUAAUCCCCUUCUAUGCAAAUUGAGGGACCACGUAGAAAGUUGUGAGAAUCUCAAUACACAAAAGAUAUAGAAACAAUGAUUACAUGCACAAGCACGAGGCCAUAAAUUUCCUUAUCCUAUACACAUUUUCAAUAAAGAUGUAACAUUCCAAACAGAAAACCCUCUUGUAGCUCACUCUACAAAAAAAAGAGUAUAGAAUUCCAAUAUUAAAGUUUAUAGGUCGACUAUUUCAAAACCAAUUGCUAUAAAGUAAAUUGAUUAAUAUUUUUAUACUCUCUUCGAUUUAUAAUAUAAGUUGUUUUGGACCAAUUUUUUUGUUUUACAAUUAAAUUGUUUUUAAGUUUUUAUGCAAACUAUAUAUUUAUUUUAAUAUUUUAUAAUUAUUUAUAUUAUGCAGUCUCUUUUGUGAUUGGUUGAACUUUUUAAAAGUAAAUAUUCUUAAUCUUCGUACUUUUAGGUAAAACAACUUAUAUUGUGAAACGGAGGGAGUAUAUCAUUUACAAUUUCUCUUUAUUUAGUUUUGUGGUGAUUCCGAAUAUUAAUUACAACUUGUACCAUUUAAUUCAACCAUAUUCGAAGAAAACAUUAAAGGCAAAACAAAUUAAGGGGAAAAAGAAAUCAAAAGUUAAAAAAAAAAAUUAAGACCAAUGAGAAUAGAUAAGGGGUAAAAGACAAAAAGAGAAUAUAAAAAAAACAAAUAGCAUUUGGCGCCAAAAGUAAAACUAAAAUGGUCAUGUCACGUGAUGUUAAUUUUUGCUCUACGACCAAAGCAAAACAAACCUAAAGUUUUCCAAAUCUCUGGGUCCCACUCUCAGAUGUGCUGACUUUUAUUUUUUUUACUUUUGUCUUAAAUCUUUGGAAAUUUUCAGUUUUAAUUUAAUUUAAUUCAUCUCUCUUUCUCACUCUAUAAAUCCCCACAGAUCCGUCACACUUCACCUAGAGACCCUCCCACAGCUUUCUCGAUAACUGACAAUCCAACGGUUGAGAUUCAGUUCUUCUAGAUAAAUUCACAUAUCCAAAGGACACGUGGCGGCGAGAGAUGAAAGAAAGUAGCCGGAAGCAAGGAGCUGCGUCACCGUGUGCUGCGUGUAAGCUUUUGCGGCGGCGGUGCGCUCAAGAUUGCGUUUUCUCGCCGUAUUUUCCGGCCGAUGAGCCUCAGAAAUUUGCUAAUGUUCAUAGAGUGUUCGGUGCUAGCAACGUCAACAAGAUGCUUCAGGUUUCUUUCUUCUUGUUCUUCUUAAGAAUAUCUAAAACGUGCUUACUCAUAUGUUGGGUUAGGUUUAAUUAGGAUGAUUUUCUUGUUUCUUAUUUUAGAUGAGACAUUACUAUCAUUUCCAUAACUUUUUAUUGACAACUACCACAUGGGCCGACCCGUUUAUAUUAUAAGUUUAGGGAUUUAAAAACAAAAUUGUUGAAUUUUAAGAAUUUAGGAAUAUGUUACAUUUAUUAGCUGAUGUUGAAUUUUAACCAUAUUAACUUUUGUUAGCUAAUGUUAAUGAUAUGAUUUACAUUUCUUAGCUAGCUGAUGUAGAGUCUACAUUUGAGAUGGAUUAUAUAAAUUUUAUAUAGUCUUGCGAGAUUAAUUGGUCUAGUGGCUGACAAAAUGUUUUAAAAACUCAACAGGAAUUACCAAUCCACCAGCGAGGGGACGCUGUGAGCAGCAUGGUUUACGAGGCUAAUGCAAGAGUGCGGGAUCCGGUUUACGGUUGCGUUGGGGCAAUUUCGUCCCUCCAGCAACAGAUAGAUGUGUUGCAAGCUCAGCUAGCUCUAGCUCAAGCUGAGGUGGUGCAUCUACGUGUACGCCAGUCGACUAAUUUCCCAGGGCACGGACUAUGCCCGGAUAGUCCGAGUAGCAGCGGGUCACCGUCUUCGAAGCAAGUGAGUCCACAGGACAACAAGGGCAUGUUUAGCCAUAUGGACAUUGUGGAUGAAGCCAGUUUGGGAGAGUCUAUGUGGUCUUGCUAGUCAAUAAUGCUCUCUUUCUGCUACUGCAAUUUCCUCUUCCUUUUUUGGGAAAUUUCGGGAUUAUUAUAUAUUAAAUUUAGGGGUAGGAUAUGAAAAUGCUCUGUUUUGACUACAGAGUGAAAUUAUUAACAUGAUAUAGAUACAUAAAAAUACUAAAUAUAUUUAUAUAUUAUAAAUCUCUCUCUAUAUAUUUAUUAGUAUUUGUAACUUUGUAAUUCCGGGGUAUUUGGGAUUUGGUGUAUGUGUAGGACCUUUGGAUCAUGAUCCGGUAGGGUUAUUUUGAUCAUUUCCAACCGAGGAGGGAUCUUUGUUAUUGACCUAAUGUAAAUUUGUGAGAUAUAUUAUUUAUCUAUAUCUAUAUACAAUUAUGAUCAUGUAACCCAUGGUGUGUGCUUGACUCUGUGAGCAUAUUAUCGUGUAAUGGUCAUCUUUGAUACUAGCUAAGUCUAGCUUAGCAAUUAGCACUAAGCACUUGUAUGGGCCUGAAUUUUUAUUAUGCAAACUUAUGGCCCAUUUGUCUUUAUUUUUUGGUUUCCUUGCAAACAUUUGCCAUUUGAUAGUCGCUGAUAGAAUCGCUCGCAUAUGAAGGAAACAGAAAGACCGGACCGGAGCAUGUGCUUGUGGUAAGAAAUUUACAGUGAGCUUAAGAAGAAACACAAGUAAUUUAGUCUAUUAUAGUUCAAGAGCUUCUCCUGCAUUCAUGCAAAUGCAAGAGUGGUAAAAUAGCAUUAUACUAAGUAAAUUUGGUUAUGCUCCUGUGCGUUAUAUCAGGAUAUUCCCUUCAAGCAAUUGAGCUUCACAUAGCAAUCACUAGACCGCAAAAUCACAAUCUGUCAAUCACCAUUUUAGCCAUAAUUCUUUCUACUUGCGCAAUCCAAAUUUUAUAAGGUUUUCGACAAUGCAUUGUUUUUCAAUAAGUACAAUGGAAAACAAAGAGAUUAGAGAGAGUAACACAAAAGCAGAAAACAAGUUCCCUUUUUAAACAUCCUUAGCAAUGAGAUCACCAUUGAGAAACUCUCUGUAGGCAGCAACGGGCCAAAUGAAACCACGGAAGAUGAUCCGACUAGCCAAAGGAACAUCGAUGAUGAUCUCUUUCAUCGCGGGUUUCUUCUCACCACUAAUAGCUAUUAAGUAGCUUCUUCCAACCCACCCGAUCCAUCCAGCAAUGUAGAGGAAAAGAAUCCCUGGAGUAAUGAACUCUCCCCAAUGCCGCUGGUCUCCGUUCACUAUCAAGUGCGGUAAACCGUCUGACCCGCAUAACAAUCCGUACUUCCCGUAGUUGUCGAACCUAACAUACAUUCAUAAGCACAUCAACUUCAAACCAAUCCACAGUUCCACAAGCUCCUCAAUAGAUCAUAUCAAUGAUCAAAUUUAACAUGUCUAGCAACUUCGAAAACUCACUAACUCACCAAAAAAAUCAUACUAAAGCAAUGGAUCUAGCAAGUAAUUCACUAAAACAGAGAAAAACUCUGUUUCAGAACAGAGGAAAGCUCUGUUUCAGAACAGAGAAAAAGCUCUGGUUUAACGAAGAAAUAGAAAUGGAAGACGAACCUGCGUUUGGUUUUCUCGAUCUGAGCAUUGAGAGCAAGAGCAGGGGCAGAUUCAGGAGCGUAGAGCUUAAGAGAAGAUUCAAGCUUCUUGAUCUGUUGCUUCUCUCUUUUAGCGAACUGUUUUGAGUCCUUGCAAGGAGUCAAACCUGAGAUAUCAGCGACAGCUGGCAUAGGAGCAGAGAGGAGGAUGGAAGAGAGGGCGACGGCGGCGGAGAAAGCUUUCAUGGAUUGAGGUGUGGAGGAGGAGGAUUUGUCAUCGGAGCAGACGAAUCUUGCGGAGGAUUUAGGUACGGAUUGAGUGAGAGAUUUGUUAGAUCUCGGGUUGAGAACGAGAUUCGCCGGGAUAGUGAGCGACAUGGCGCUUUGUCGGGUUCUUUGGAGAUUUCGAAUUCUAGGGUUCUGGA
This 4892-nucleotide long non-coding RNA is filed under the name Arabidopsis thaliana (thale cress). RNAcentral describes it as "long non-coding RNA (ATHA_LNC000537)". Lineage: Eukaryota; Viridiplantae; Streptophyta; Magnoliopsida; Brassicales; Brassicaceae. The record is from RNAcentral.